This is a long non-coding RNA of Syngnathus acus (greater pipefish), 193 nucleotides long. RefSeq lists it as uncharacterized. Lineage: Eukaryota; Metazoa; Chordata; Actinopteri; Syngnathiformes; Syngnathidae. The record is from RefSeq and is a predicted model, not a curated record. The transcript is spliced from 3 exons.
UUUGUAAACUGGUUCUGCCUACAAACGCUGCACUGGGAGAUGUACGUAUAUGUCUUUUAGCACAUUUGACACCGGGAGAUUUGCAGGUUCUUGAGAGGCAGGCUAACACUGCAGAUUUGAGGGACAGUCACCCUUUCUCCCCCAUUUCUCAACAAGAGCCGGUCACUUACAUCAGAUAAGUGCACGAUUGACA